Molecule: unclassified non-coding RNA, 916 nt
Filed under: Hevea brasiliensis (rubber tree)
Lineage: Eukaryota; Viridiplantae; Streptophyta; Magnoliopsida; Malpighiales; Euphorbiaceae
Source: RNAcentral
GUUAAGGUUGAUAUCAUCUUAGGGGUCAUUAUGAUGCAGAACAUACUCCUAGGAAUUUCAGGAGUACAUAUUUUUGGAAAAAAUAUGGAAAAUAACUAGGCUUAUAUAUAGUGUUUGUGCUCCUAAAAUAUGUACUUCUAAAAUCCCUAGGAGUACGUUCUGCAUCACAUUAGCAAUUUAAACGGUUGUACCUGGACUUUCGCUUUUAAAAGCCAUAUUGAUUUGUGACAAGAUAUAAACACUUGACCAACCUUGUAUGUAUUAAUGCUUGCUUUUGUUCGAUUUCUGUAGAACUAGAAAACAUUUUCUACUCUCAAGCAAUUUAUAGCAUUCAGAAGUCAUUGCUUGUUAACACAUAGAAGAUAUUAUCUUUCAGAAAAUUGAGGUGGUGUGAAAUGUAUGAUUGGUAUUAUUAAAAAAAUAAUAAGAGAAGAAAAUAAGAAACACAUACUGAUGAAAAAUGGUGUAGAUUUCAUGCAUUUGUGAUGCGAUCUAAUCUAAGAAAGUCAUAUAGGGGAUGCCUUUGUUAUAUCCUCAAAAAAAGUAAUUAGAAGGGAGGACUAUACAUGUCUUGUAUGGUAAAAAUGGCGUGACAAGUUACAAAGGAAUAAAGGACGUGAAGCCCAGAUAGAUGCACCCUUGCUUAUGUAUUUUACAUCUUAGAAGUUUGAGACAUUUUUUGACUUCCUAUUGAAGUAAGUGUACAAAGUUUUCAAAUGUGAUGUAAGGAUUUAAGCUACUCCUAUUUAUGCAGCCUGCGUUGAGAUACUACUCACUGGUCUUCGAUGCUGUUUACACCCCUAAAAUUACCAGACUCUUGAGAGAAGCAGAGGAAUCUGGAGCCAUAGCAGUUUCAGGGUUGGAGAUGUUUAUUGGGCAGGCAUAUGAACAAUUUGAGAGGUUCUCUGGAUUACCC